UCAGAGUGAACGCUGGCGGUAGGCCUAACACAUGCAAGUCGAACGGCAGCACAGCAGUAGCAAUACUGUGGGUGGCGAGUGGCGGACGGGUGAGGAAUACAUCGGAAUCUACCUUUUCGUGGGGGAUAACGUAGGGAAACUUACGCUAAUACCGCAUAAGACCUUCGGGUGAAAGUGGGGGACCUUCGGGCCUCACGCGGAUAGAUGAGCCGAUGUCGGAUUAGCUUGUUGGCGGGGUAAAAGCCCACCAAGGCGACGAUCCGUAGCUGGUCUGAGAGGAUGAUCAGCCACACUGGAACUGAGACACGGUCCAGACUCCUACGGGAGGCAGCAGUGGGGAAUAUUGGACAAUGGGCGCAAGCCUGAUCCAGCCAUACCGCGUGGGUGAAGAAGGCCUUCGGGUUGUAAAGCCCUUUUGUUGGGAAAGAAAUCCUGCCGGUUAAUAACCAGUA
Molecule: ribosomal RNA, 452 nt
Filed under: barley rhizosphere bacterium LJ57
Lineage: Bacteria
Description: bacterial SSU rRNA
Rfam family: Bacterial small subunit ribosomal RNA
Source: RNAcentral